This 912-nucleotide ribosomal RNA is filed under the name uncultured bacterium. RNAcentral describes it as "bacterial SSU rRNA". It matches the Rfam family "Bacterial small subunit ribosomal RNA", at positions 8 to 916 of the family's 1533-position model. The record is from RNAcentral.
AGAGUUUGAUCAUGGCUCAGAUUGAACGCUGGCGGCAUGCCUUACACAUGCAAGUCGAACGGCAGCACGGACUUCGGUCUGGUGGCGAGUGGCGAACGGGUGAGUAAUACAUCGGAACGUGCCUAGUAGUGGGGGAUAACUACUCGAAAGAGUGGCUAAUACCGCAUGAGAUCUACGGAUGAAAGCAGGGGAUCGCAAGACCUUGUGCUACUAGAGCGGCUGAUGGCAGAUUAGGUAGUUGGUGGGAUAAAAGCUUACCAAGCCGACGAUCUGUAGCUGGUCUGAGAGGACGAUCAGCCACACUGGGACUGAGACACGGCCCAGACUCCUACGGGAGGCAGCAGUGGGGAGUUUUGGACAAUGGGCGCAAGCCUGAUCCAGCAAUGCCGCGUGCAGGAUGAAGGCCUUCGGGUUGUAAACUGUUUUUGUACGGAACGAAAAGCUUCGGGCUAAUACCCUGGAGUCAUGACGGUACCGUAAGAAUAAGCACCGGCUAACUACGUGCCAGCAGCCGCGGUAAUACGUAGGGUGCAAGCGUUAAUCGGAAUUACUGGGCGUAAAGCGUGCGCAGGCGGUUUUGUAAGACAGAGGUGAAAUCCCCGGGCUCAACCUGGGAACUGCCUUUGUGACUGCAAGGCUAGAGUACGGCAGAGGGGGAUGGAAUUCCGCGUGUAGCAGUGAAAUGCGUAGAUAUGCGGAGGAACACCGAUGGCGAAGGCAAUCCCCUGGGCCUGUACUGACGCUCAUGCACGAAAGCGUGGGGAGCAAACAGGAUUAGAUACCCUGGUAGUCCACGCCCUAAACGAUGUCAACUGGUUGUUGGGUCUUAUCUGACUCAGUAACGAAGCUAACGCGUGAAGUUGACCGCCUGGGGAGUACGGCCGCAAGGUUGAAACUCAAAUGAAUUGACGG